Rattus norvegicus (Norway rat) is the source of this 1203-nucleotide non-coding RNA. NCBI's taxonomy places the organism in Eukaryota, Metazoa, Chordata, Mammalia, Rodentia, Muridae. The record is from RefSeq and is a predicted model, not a curated record.
GCAGAGGAAGAUCCAGUAUUGCUUGAUCAGCUUCCUAUUCUUUAUCAGUAUUUAGAAUGUCCAUAUAUUUUCAUGGCAUUUGAAAGUCCAGGUAGCAAUUCUUCCAUCAGUCCUAUAGGUUGCAUUUCAUUCCAGCAGUUGUCUUUGGGCUUUGAAGACUUUUGUCAGACAAGAAAAGAUCAACACCCCUUCCUUCCAUGGAGGAAUGUCUCAGAAUACAUGUAGCAGAAAUAAGUUUGUAUGUAAUCCUAAACAGUUGGGAUAUAGCAGGCUCACAAAAUCAAGAGAAGAAGUGCUAAUGAUGGCCACAAGAGAGUGCAGGCAUGAGUACGCCUUGGGCAAAAGAAGAUAUUUCAGGCCAAUGUGGGCCUUUGGUGAAAGUGCUCUUGUCCACUAUACAGAGAAAAAAGGUGAAAUACUUGUGAGUAGAUGUGGAGUGUUGAUGCUCCCAUAGGGAAAGGAGAGACACUGAAGUUCUUCUAUGAAACGGUGACAUUACAGACCCCAUGGACAGAAGAUGUGAAUUUGAGAACAACUGGAGCAAAAGGUAUCAUUCUGAUGUCCCUCCUAGAGGAAGUUUUGAAUGUGAGACACAGUUAAGUGUUAAUUUUGUGACAUCUUUCAUCAAAAGUAGCAUGGUUCAGAAUCAUUCUUUGUCAAAUAGGUUAGCUGCUGAGGACCUUUUUGAGUGGAAGUGGAGUUUGAGACCUGGGUGCCAGAGAUGACUUCAGGAAUUGUAAUUGAUGGAAAAAGGAAGAUCUUGACGCCUUUAAGAAAGAGAAAACUUUGAGAUCUGAUUGUGCAAAGAAAAUUUUCAUCAAAGGAGCAAGAAAUUCUUCAUAACUUCAACACAACAUGGCCUUUGGGAACAGAAUAAAACACAAAUAAGGAAAGGCGGAAAAUUAUUGACACAUGCACUGUUCUUGGUUUGAAAUUUAACAAUCAUGCUAGUUAUAGGAUACAGCUUUGAAAUUCGAGUCAAUGAGAGGAUGAAAAAUACUGAGGAAGAGUAGGUAAAUUGAAUUCUUGCUACAUGAACAAAAACACUGGAUCUGAAGGUAAGGUACAUUUUAUAUAAUGACCCUCGUCUUCUGACACUAUUUAUUCAAUGCUUUGGUAUUUGUUCGUAUAUUAUGUUCCAAAAACAUAUCAAUGAUUCUGGUUAUUCUUAAUUAAUGAACAUGCAUUUCAGCUGAUUUAAUA